This 497-nucleotide ribosomal RNA is filed under the name uncultured bacterium. RNAcentral's name for it is "partial 16S ribosomal RNA". It matches the Rfam family "Bacterial small subunit ribosomal RNA", at positions 28 to 507 of the family's 1533-position model. The record is from RNAcentral.
GAUGAACGCUGGCGGCGUGCCUAAUACAUGCAAGUCGAGCGAACAGACGAGGAGCUUGCUCCUCUGACGUUAGCGGCGGACGGGUGAGUAACACGUGGAUAACCUCCCUAUAAGACUGGGAUAACUUCGGGAAACCGGAGCUAAUACCGGAUAAUAUAUUGAACCGCAUGGUUCAAUAGUGAAAGACGGUUUUGCUGUCACUUAUAGAUGGAUCCGCGCCGCAUUAGCUAGUUGGUAAGGUAACGGCUUACCAAGGCAACGAUGUGUAGCCGACCUGAGAGGGUGAUCGGCCACACUGGAACUGAGACACGGUCCAGACUCCUACGGGAGGCAGCAGUAGGGAAUCUGCCGCAAUGGGCGAAAGCCUUACGGAGCAACGCCGCGUGAGUGAUGAAGGUCUUCGGAUCGUAAAACUCUGUUAUUAGGGAAGAACAAAUGUGUAAGUAACUAUGCACGUCUUGACGGUACCUAAUCAGAAAGCCACGGCUAACUACGUG